AGAGUUUGAUCCUGGCUCAGGAUGAACGCUGGCGGCGUGCUUAACACAUGCAAGUCGAACGAACCUUCGGGUUAGUGGCGGACGGGUGAGUAACGCGUGAGAAUCUGCCCUCAGGAGGGGGAUAACGGCUGGAAACGGCCGCUAAUACCCCAUAUGCCGAGAGGUGAAAUGAAUUUCGCCUGAGGAUGAGCUCGCGUCUGAUUAGCUAGUUGGUGGGGUAAGAGCCUACCAAGGCUUCGAUCAGUAGCUGGUCUGAGAGGAUGAUCAGCCACACUGGGACUGAGACACGGCCCAGACUCCUACUGGAGGCAGCAGUGGGGAAUUUUCCGCAAUGGGCGAAAGCCUGACGGAGCAACGCCGCGUGAGGGAUGAAGGCCUCUGGGCUGUAAACCUCUUUUCUCAAGGAAGAAGAUCUGACGGUACUUGAGGAAUAAGCCACGGCUAAUUCCGUGCCAGCAGCCGCGGUAAUACGGGAGUGGCAAGCGUUAUCCGGAAUUAUUGGGCGUAAAGCGUCCGCAGGCGGCCUUGAAAGUCUGCUGUUAAAGCGUGGAGCUUAACUCCAUUUCAGCAGUGGAAACUACAAGGCUAGAGUGUGGUAGGGGCAGAGGGAAUUCCCGGUGUAGCGGUGAAAUGCGUAGAUAUCGGGAAGAAUACCAGUGGCGAAGGCGCUCUGCUGGGCCAUAACUGACGCUCAUGGACGAAAGCCAGGGGAGCGAAAGGGAUUAGAUACCCCUGUAGUCCUGGCCGUAAACGAUGAACACUAGGUGUCGGGGGAAUCGACCCCUCCGGUGUCGUAGCCAACGCGUUAAGUGUUCCGCCUGGGGAGUACGCACGCAAGUGUGAAACUCAAAGGAAUUGACGGGGGCCCGCACAAGCGGUGGAGUAUGUGGUUUAAUUCGAUGCAACGCGAAGAACCUUACCAGGGUUUGACAUCCUGCGAAUCCCUUGGAAACGAGGGAGUGCCUUCGGGAGCGCAGUGACAGGUGGUGCAUGGCUGUCGUCAGCUCGUGUCGUGAGAUGUUGGGUUAAGUCCCGCAACGAGCGCAACCCACGUCUUUAGUUGCCAGCAUCGAGUUGGGCACUCUAGAGAGACCGCCGGUGAUAAACCGGAGGAAGGUGUGGAUGACGUCAAGUCAUCAUGCCCCUUACAUCCUGGGCUACACACGUACUACAAUGCUACGGACAAAGGGCAGCAAACUCGCGAGAGCUAGCAAAUCCCAUAAACCGUGGCUCAGUUCAGAUCGUAGGCUGCAACUCGCCUACGUGAAGGAGGAAUCGCUAGUAAUCGCAGGUCAGCAUACUGCGGUGAAUACGUUCCCGGGCCUUGUACACACCGCCCGUCACACCAUGGAAGUUGGCCACGCCCGAAGUCGUUACUCCAACCCGCAAGGGAGGAGGAUGCCGAAGGUGCGGCUGGAUC
Molecule: ribosomal RNA, 1420 nt
Filed under: metagenome
Description: bacterial SSU rRNA
Rfam family: Bacterial small subunit ribosomal RNA
Source: RNAcentral